CUGCAGCAGCAGGGCGGGCAGGCGCGGCGGCGGCGGCGGCGGCGGCAGGACGAGCAGCGGCGGCGGUUAUUGUUGUUGGUGGCGGUGGUAGUGUUGGCGAAGUGGGGGAGGGAGGGGGUUUCUCCCAGAGAAUCGAGGCGGGUUUCCCUCCCCCUAUCUGCAAAGCUCCUGGAAACAAGGGAGCCGGCGUCUUGCUGCAGGAUGGGCCGUCCGCCUGCCCCCUCCCACCCCACUCCCUGCCGGCUCGGCCCCCGGCGGAGGCGCUCCCACCUACUGCAUUACCGGGUGGUGCUGAACUGGACAGCUCCCUGCGCCGCCCGCUUCGCGCGCUCCCCGGCUCCCCCGGCGGCCCGCCAGGAGGGGGGCGCGGGCCAGAGUCCUCCCUUCCCUCGGGGGCAGCAAGGCCAGGGCAGAGCGGGGGCUGCCUUUCCUCUUUUUACCCCUCUCCCAGAUCCUGAAAUGAGCGCUCUCCUGGGCUCCCGGAGCUUAGAGGAAGGCGUAGCUAGAGAUAGCUCCGCUCCCUCUCCCUUUCCCUCUCCCUCUCUCUCUCUCUCUCACUCUCUCCCCUUCCCUUCCCCCCCGCUGUUUCUUCCAGCUCAGCCUCCUUCUCAUUCCAUCUCUACGUGCCCAGAGCUUCAAAUACAACCCUCCCAUCACAAUCAGACGGGCACAAAACUUGGACCAGCCGUUUCUUUGCCUGGAAGCCCUGAAAAUAUAACCUGGAUGGGUAAUUACAAACACGGUCUCUAUGUGUUUUUUAAAUCAUCUUUUGCACUUUGCUGUUUGGGGGAUCUGUUUUAUUUUGUUGGCACGUUAGCUGUUCUCCUUUUGGUCGUUUCUGUCUCGUCUCUGUCUCUUUCUAGCUGACAGGGUGUGUAUGUGUGUCUCUGUAGUUUUCCGUGAAAUCCCAAAUCUUGCUCCUACAAGCAGACAUUUUGGAAAGAUUAUUCAUGGAAAAGGGUGCAAAAGGGUGACUGGCGGCUGGGGCUUGGGCGAUGAGUUUCAUCUCAAGGAUAAACAUGUUUGAGGGGAAGUGAGUGAAAUGUGAGUCCUUCUAAGUUUCCCAUGUCAUUUGUGAACUGGAUGGGAAGAGAUAAAAAUCUCCCUGCUGUGAAUAAGGAAACACAUCAUAACUCUCCGCUUUUCCUCAGCAGAAUGGUUGUCUUGUGUUAAUUACAGUGUCACCUCUUGUUUCUAUAUGUGCAACUUUUCCUUAAUGCGACCCCUGGAGAAAGAACCCCAUCAGAUUCCUGCUGCUACUGAUUAUAUUUCUCUCUGAUCAGUUUCCUAGUUAGGUGAGGGAGAGCACAUGAGGCAUGAGGUAGGUGCACUGUUUUUAAUUUUGGGUGGGGGGAGGAGCCUAGAGAGACGUGUAAAUCUGAUGGGUCAGUUGGGGGUUAGCGAUGUUUCAAUUUCAUAGCUCAGCUAUUCUAUACUUUCUUCUUCCAUUUUUGUCUGGAGAUAAUUUGCUUGACAAUUUCUUAGUGAUCUGGUGAUUAUCAAAGAGUAUAUAAAAGGUGACUGAAUUCAAAACAGACUUUCUUUGGUAUUGCCUAACGUCUUUCCCUUAGCUCAGAGUUGGUCUGAAGGUAUGGUCAAUACAUUUUUUUUUUUUUUUUUUGGUGUAGAAAAACUACCUGUUUCUCCCCUCCUUGAAACUUCCUUCUCUCGCUCCCUUUUCCCUUCUCAGAAAGGAAGGACUCUUGAGAGGGGUAAUCGCUGUGCUCCUGGCACCUUGGAGAGGGUCCUGGUGUCCGGAGAAUGCGACCAAGAUUACAGCAACCUCUGCUAAGCCCUGAGUUCUGAGAGGCUGGGUCCUUGUCUCUCGUGUUCCUCGUCGUGUCCUUCGCAUCUUGGCACAGAACAGGCCCUCGAUACACAUUCAUGGAUAAAUGGGCUGGAGUGAGCGGAACGAGAGGGAAGAGGAGAAAAAGUCACAAUAUUUGUUUUAAUGACGGGACUCCUGCCGGCCACCCACUCCCCGUGACAUUUGCAGGACUAGAAGAGGUAUCGAAUAGUAGUAUUCAGACCAAGAGUAGUUAACGUGAAAAUGUGUACGGAGUGGACAAGUAUAACUAAAUAGAGAAAGCUUCAGAGAUAUUGAGACACCGGAAGGUUGUCAUAUUUGAGACCCUUGAAGCAAAGAGGAGGCUGCGAAGUUCAAGAUCAAGAUGCCAGCAGAUUUGGUUCCUGAAGAUGGUGUCUUCCUGAAUGAGGUUCGGGAAUGCUGCUACCAUUCAAUGAGGUAAUGGUGAAAUCGGAAACUCAAGGCUGGUAGCAAAGGAAAAAAAAUAAAAAAGAUGAGCUUUGAUUCAUGGUCAGGAGGAUCCGUGAAUGGGGAAGGCUCAUCCUGCAGUAAUCAGAGGAAAUGCGAGCGGCACAUCCUUCCAGCAGAGUCCCUUCCAGAGAGAUGAAGGUCAUGCUAAUGGAGACCUCAGCCAGCCUGUUAGCAUCCGGAGCUGGACCAGGGAGGACACCUCAGGCCGCUUCCAUAACUUUCCAAUCUCUUUUUUAUUAAAAAGAACAAUUUCCUUUUGGUGAGGAGACCAAGGUCAGACAUGAAAUGGCUUGCCCAAACUGGCAUGGGCAGCGUGUGGCAGAAGCAAUAUUUGCAUCCAGGUCCGCCUGUCUUCAACGCCCAGAAGUGCAACCAUCCAAGGGAGGUGAUGUUCCAGGGCCUGGAGCAGUGAAGUGACUUGCCCAGGGUCACUCUGUGACAAAGUGCCUGAGUGGACACCUGAACCCAGAGCUGUUUGACUCCAGAGCCCAGAACGCCGUGUGCAGGCGCACGGCUGCACGCUCUGCUUCUUGGAGUUGUCACCACCUCUGCUUGUUAGAAGAGGGAGCUGUUAGAACAGCUGAAGGAAGCCUGAUGGGAGAGACCCAAGCUUCCCCAAGAUGUAUCUUGAGAUUCACAGUGAAUUGCCGAUAUGUUGUUCGGGAAGCUGUUUCUUGAUCUUUGCUUGAAAACAUCCUCCGCUAUCAGCAAGAAUCCACCGUGACCUGGAUCCUGCGUGCUCUUAAUUUAAAUACCGUCUUACAAAGGAUACAGCACCCGAGGAAGUUCUGGACCAUGAACUCACUGCAGUCCUUAUGUUAGGAUGCUCAGUGCUUACAGUUGGAAUGGCUUUGUCACUGAAGCUUGGCUAAUGGUGACCCUUGGACGAGUCCUUCUUUGAGCGCUUGUAGGCGACAUGGGAAGAGCAUAGUGCAAACGGGAGGGGGAGAGUCAAAGGCAAGCAAAGCAUCAUGACCUCCACCUACCGAGCAAAACUCCAACGUACACCCAGGCUGCCAGAACCAGAACCAGCCUGGUCUCCGUAUUUGCAUGUAGAGCCAGGCCUCAAAUGUAUCUUAAUUUUAGUUCCUCUUCUCAAAUCUGAAAUAGAUUGUAGGUUUUAAGCUACAGCAAAAAUGAAGGAGAAACAAGGUAAGUGCCUACUACUUCCUUGCCCUCCUCCCCAUGCCCUUAGCAAGGGCGAGAACAGAAAGUACCCCCUGCCCAGCACAGCCUUUGGGGAUGGAGACCCUUGGCCCAAGCUGAAUUCUAUAACCUUCAGAACAGGGUCCCUGGAUUGUGUGCACGAUGGAUGGAGCUCUUUCUUGGGAUUUUCGGAAAACAGACAAGCUCCAAGCACAGCUGGGCUGCAGCUUCGCUUUUUUUUCUUUCCACCUUCAGCCGUGGCAGCCUGUUCCUGAUUUCUCUGGAAAGGCAGCUCCUAAUUAGAAUGGAUCGAAGAGUCUUUGCUCGAGCUUUGUUCUCCGUCUCGAUUGAAUCGUUGUUUUAGGACUUAAUCUGGUGCAGUCACCAGUGGGCUGGGACACUUGCCUCUCCGAGCUGCUCUCAGGCGCGCGGGAGGGCUGGUCCCUGGGGGCCACCGAGAGCUCCGAGGAGCUCUCUGCAUCCUCUCCCUCCAGGCCUCUCUUCCUUUCCCCUUUUCCUCCCCACCUGCUUUCUCUCCUCUUAAUUUCCUUUCAUUAACAACCCAAAGCCGUCCAGGGUGCCAGUCCCUGCUGGUGGGAGUGUAAAUUGGUACAAUUUCUCUGGAGGGCAAUUUGUCAAAUGCUAUUAAAAGCCUUAAAAAAAAAUGCAUAGGCUUUGACCUGGAAAGUCCCCUUCUAGGAAUUUGUCCUGUAGAAAUAAUUGGACAGGGGUCCGCGAAUAUGUGCAGAAGGAUGUUGCCCUCCGUGCUUUUCAUGAGUGGCAACUUGCAAAGCUGGUAUCCAUCCACAGGGGGCCAUUAAAAAGGAUCAUGUGAUAAACCAACUGUAAAAGAACCUUUUGAAGCUAACCGGAGAAAUUUGAAUCCUGACUGGGCAUUCGGUGCGCUUAAGGAAUUACUGUUAAUUUCGUCAGGUGUAAUAAUAACCUUGAGAUAGGUUUAGAGGCACACUGCAAGAGGGUUAGUAUUAGGUUUAAACGGUUAUAACGAUAAUAAUAAUGGAAGGGGGAAGAAGAUGAAGCAAGGGAGGCAAAAGCUUACAAGUUCUGAAUCUGGCUGAUGGGCAAAGGAGCAUCUGUUACACUGUUCUCUUUAUUUUUGUGUAUGUUUAAAAUUUUCAUGAUUUAAAAAGAAAUAAAAUGAUCACAUAAAACUGUA
Molecule: long non-coding RNA, 4601 nt
Organism: Globicephala melas (long-finned pilot whale)
Lineage: Eukaryota; Metazoa; Chordata; Mammalia; Artiodactyla; Delphinidae
Source: RefSeq, a predicted model, not a curated record